CUUUUGUUAUUGUUGUUAUCGCCCCGCACACGCUCGGCUGGGAAAUUCCAGCCGAAAAUUUGCACAGCUGGCCUACCGGGUUGGAUAUACCGAUCGCUCAGGAUGGUCCCGGUCGCCCGAUGGGUUUGCGCAUUGCUGCUGACGGAAGCCAAGGCACUGCUGCUGAUUUCUGGUUACUGCCAGUUCAUGUCCUGCCUUCUACUGUUUGCCCCCCCAGCCCGUGGCAACCCGGGGGAGAUAAGUUGUUUUUCGAUCAAUUCAAUUGCUCACCGCCGAACAUGGAAGAGGCGGACCCCACCGGCCCAUCGAGAAACUGUCGGUUUCCGAAACGGUUUGCCUCAGCGCUGAUGAUGGCGACAAUAGCUUAGACGUCCUGCUCCUCGGGCUCCGCAACGCAAUUGUGAGGUAGGUUGGUAUUAAAUUUAAAAGACUGAUACCCAAUCCAUACCAGUAAUGGCACUGAUAUUGAACUCAUCACGAGCCUGGCACUGAUCCUCAGCCUGAAUUUAUAGAAGUCCUUAAACUGAUGCUGAAGCCCCAUACCCCCAUGCAUCCAUGGGUAGGUUUUUUAGGACUAAACUACUAGUUGAGAGUGACAUAUGAUAGAAUUUACCUAACGCUUUAAAACGAUGAAGCGAUAUACCCCUAGAAGCUAUUCGAUGAGGUAUAUUAACUUUAUUAAACCUCAUCCACCGUCAAUUUCCCCCCGUACAGCUCAUUAGCAGAUUCAACUGUGCACAUACUUCGAACAAGAACCGACCACCAAAAAUGUAUCGAGUAACCAAAAUCCUACUGUGCGGAAGAUAAUGAAACAUUUUCUACCCUUUCCAUCCGGUCCCGCUCAUCCAUUGUUACGAGCCACCAAGCGUCUCCAUGUGGAAAACGACCCGACCACCUACAAGUCAGUGGUGGUUUGCUUGCUUGCUCAAACAAAGAAACCGGUAUUUACACGCGCGGGCAAGCGACCGUACUGCUUUCCUAGAAACAAUCGACCAACAGAAAUUCCACUUUAUACUUUGGACGCUGGAGCUCGCGUGAGCCCAAAUUGCUGUACUCCUCUGCCUUUCCCGGAAAAUGGGCACACAAAACGCUCCUUUCUAGUGUCCGCCGUGUUUGCCGCACAAAAAAGAGGGAAGUUAUAGCAAAUCUUGAUGUAAAGGUUUGUAAAAAAACAUCUACAAACGGUAGAUAAAGGAAAGAAAAAUCGAUUUUGCUUCCUGUUUUUUGUGGAGAGAGGCAAGAACGUUCCUAGAUAACGAUCGACAUGGGAGCAAGUUGCAAUAAAAUUUGAAAGCCUCACACACCAUUAAAACAAUUCAAAACCGGGAUGAAAUUUAGGGUGGGAUGAAACAACUCACAU
Molecule: long non-coding RNA, 1360 nt
Organism: Anopheles arabiensis
Lineage: Eukaryota; Metazoa; Arthropoda; Insecta; Diptera; Culicidae
Exons: 4
Source: RefSeq, a predicted model, not a curated record